This 253-nucleotide ribosomal RNA is filed under the name uncultured bacterium. Its description in RNAcentral is "partial 16S ribosomal RNA". It matches the Rfam family "Bacterial small subunit ribosomal RNA", at positions 524 to 776 of the family's 1533-position model. The record is from RNAcentral.
UACGGGGGGGGCAAGCGUUGUUCGGAAUUACUGGGCGUAAAGGGCUCGUAGGCGGCCAACUAAGUCAGACGUGAAAUCCCCAGGCUCAACCUGGGAACUGCGUCUGAUACUGGAUGGCUUGAAUCCGGGAGAGGGAUGCAGAAUUCCAGGUGUAGCGGUGAAAUGCGUAGAUAUGUGGAGGAACACCGAUGGCGAAGGCAGCCCCCUGGGAUGUGACUGACGCUCAUGUACGAAAGCGUGGGGAGCAAACAGG